This 253-nucleotide ribosomal RNA is filed under the name uncultured bacterium. RNAcentral's name for it is "partial 16S ribosomal RNA". It matches the Rfam family "Bacterial small subunit ribosomal RNA", at positions 524 to 776 of the family's 1533-position model. The record is from RNAcentral.
GACGAACUGUCCUAACGUUGUUCGGAAUCACUGGGCUUAAAGGGCGCGUAGGCGGUCGAUCAAGUCAGGGGUGAAAUCCUACAGCUUAACUGUAGAAGUGCCUUUGAUACUGGUUGUCUUGAGGGAGGUAGGGGUGUGUGGAACUCACAGUGGAGCGGUGAAAUGCCUUGAUAUUGUGAGGAACGCCGGAGGCGAAAGCGACGCACUGGACCUCUUCUGACGCUGAGGCGCGAAAGCUAGGGGAGCAAACGGG